RNAcentral lists this ribosomal RNA (821 nucleotides) under Voitia nivalis. RNAcentral's name for it is "eukaryotic LSU rRNA". It matches the Rfam family "Eukaryotic large subunit ribosomal RNA", at positions 202 to 1005 of the family's 3401-position model. Lineage: Eukaryota; Viridiplantae; Streptophyta; Bryopsida; Splachnales; Splachnaceae. The record is from RNAcentral.
UCAGAUAGGGUGACAACCCCGUCNAGCCCGGAGCGUGCCGCUCCACGAGGAGCUGUCUGCGAGUCGGGCUGUUUGGGAAUGCAGCCCUAAGCGGGAGGUAAAUUCCUUCCAAGGCUAAAUAUGGGCAAGAGACCGAUAGCGAACAAGUACCGCGAGGGAAAGAUGAAAAGGACUUUGAAAAGAGAGUUAAAAAGUGCUUGAAAUUGCUGGGAGGGAAGCGAAUGGAAGCUGCGGGUGCGCCCCGGUUGGAUGUGGAACGGCCCUUAAACAAGGCUGGUCCGCCGCUCAACGCGGGGCGCUGGUCAGCGUGGGCCUUCGCGCCGGGACAAGAGCGGGACUUCGCGUCCCGUCCAUGCCGGUGCGGGGGCCGAGGAACGAAGCGCGCGCCCCCUCCGGGGGGCGUGGGGCUCGCCCCAACUGCGCGCUCGGGACGCUGGCGUAUUGAGCUCUUCAUCCGACCCGUCUUGAAACACGGACCAAGGAGUCUAACAUGUAUGCGAGCCGGUGGGCGGCAAACCCAUUGAGGCGCAAGUAACCUGACAGGUGGGACCCCGACCGCAAGGGAGGGAGCACCAUCGACCGACCGUGAUCUUCUGUGAAAGGUUUGAGUGCGAGCAUACCCGUUGGGACCCGAAAGAUGGUGAACUAUGCCUGAGCAGGGCGAAGCCAGAGGAAACUCUGGUGGAGGCUCGUAGCGAUACUGACGUGCAAAUCGUUCGUCAGACUUGGGUAUAGGGGCGAAAGACUAAUCGAACCAUCUAGUAGCUGGUUCCCUCCGAAGUUUCCCUCAGGAUAGCUGGAGCUCGNGUAAGAGUUUUAUC